AAAAAGGGCCGAAGAAAAUGGAAAAAGUGUGUUACUACUUAAUUUUUGUUUUUGGUUGCUAAACAAUACCCCUGGGUGUAUAGAUUGCAAACAAUCUUCUAUCUGCCAGCCCAUCCAACUUCAUAGGAAAAAUUAACCAGAAUGCUGCUAAACGUAGCCUAAGCAUAUUGUGAAUUUGUAGCUAUUUCAAAUACUUAUGUUGUUUUUAUUUGGCUAUUCUCCCAUUUUUCUUCACGUGUAGGAACUGCACCUGGAAAGAAAGGAACAAAGAAAUGUAAAACUGAUUGAAACGGCUGAAGAUGUCAAACUCCAGAAGCAAGAAACUGACGCUGGACGAUCAAAUCAUUACAAUGAUGAUAUUAGGGGACAAUAUAGUGUAUGGAGGAGAGAAUACGGCAAUAUUCUCCCAGAUACGACUUUAAAACUCAUGAAGGGUCAAAUCAUAAUGGCUAAAGUCUACGCUAGCAUCGCCGAGAAGAGAAAUUUAACGGAUAUUGCUGGUAAAUUGAAAAAUCACAUUGCAUCAAGUGAAAAAGCUACCAAGGAUGUAAAUUCUGAUGAUAAACUGCCAGAAGGGUACACCCUCUCCUAUUUAUCAGUGUAAUUUUCUUCCUUCCCUAAAAUAUUUGUUAUGUGCUGAAAUAACUUGUCUAAAUGCUAUGUAGUGCACAUCGACAUGCAGAAGAGAUGGGCAAAGCUUUAUCUGCGGCAAAAGAGGUGCUAUAUGACUGUGCCGUUAUUGCAAAAAAACUACGGGCCAUGGUUCCAUCUGUUGAAAGAAGUAUAACUGCGCAGAAGGAGAAAGGCAUGUAUUUGUUGCAAUAUGCUUCAAAGACAAUCCCUGCAGCACUGCACUGCCUUGCUUUACAUCUCACAACAGAUUACUUCUCACAAGGUCAUAGUAAUAGGAGCACAAGUUCAUCAAACCGAAAAAGACUUGAAGACACCUCUCUCUACCAUUAUGCAAUAUUCUCGGAUAACAUACUUGCAACAUCAGUGGUCAUCAACUCCACUGUAGUAAAUUCCAAGGAGCCGGAGAAACACGUGUUCCAUAUAGUCACUGACAAGCUGAACUUUGCAGCUAUGAAGAUGUGGUUCAUAGCCCAUCCUCCACCGAAAACCACAAUUGAUGUGCAGAGUCACAAUGCUUUUAAGUGGCUUAAUUCUUCUCAUUGUCUAGCUCUUGGCCGUAGUGAAUCUACUCUUUCACCUGGUGAUGCUCAUCUGAAGCAUAGGAAUCCCAGGUACCUGUCUGUGCUCAAUCAUCUCAGGUUCUAUAUGCCUGAACUGUUCCCAAACUUGGACAAGAUACUGUUACUCGAUGAUGAUGUUGUUGUUCAAAGAGAUUUGACUCCACUCUGGUCUAUGGAUAUGAAAGGGAUGGUGAAUGGAGCUGUAGAGAUCUGCGGAGGUAGCUUUCACCGAUUUGACGCAUAUCUUAACUUUUCAGACCCAAGAAUCUAUGGUAAUUUUUAUCCACAUAGUUGUAUAUGGGCAUUUGGGAUGAAUAUUUUCGACUUGAAGGCGUGGAAGAAUAAAGAUAUAAUGGGAGUAUAUCAUUAUUGGCAAGAGCAGGUACCAGACUGUAAUUAUUCAUUCAAUUUCAUAACUGCAACAAAGAUCCGUUUCCUGUAUCUUUAGUCUAGUCAUGUAAGUUAACAUGAACUACUGCAUCUUCAUCUUUUUUGAGAGUAACCAUUUUUGGCUAAUCCUAUCUAAGAGACUGGUUUCUCAUGGACAAUGAUGCAGUGAUCUUAUGCAGAGGGAAUAGGUAUAUGCAUACUAGGAUUUUUCUAAAGUGAAUAUUAGGUUAAUUGACGUUCUGAGCACCGUGCAAUAAUAAGCAUACUAUUAUUCUCUCUAUAACUGUGUACCUUCGCUUAUGAGCAUUUCCUUUCUUUAUUGUCACCAGAACAAAGAUUGUGAUCUUUGGAAGCUUGGCUCGCUGCCUGCAGGCUUGGUCACAUUCUACCAUGUGACCUACCCACUCGAAAAGCACUGGCAUCUUCAUUCCCUGGGUUACAAGCGUAACAUCAGCUCCUCGGAUAUUCAAAAGGCUGCGGUCAUCCACUACAGUGGAAGCUAUAAACCCUGGUUAGGCAGUGGCCUAGCUAUCCCCGAGUACCGGAAAUACUGGUCAAAGUAUGUACCUUUUGACAGCCGCUAUCUCCGUAGAUGCCACUUUUACCUGUGACGUUAGACCUAUAGAGAAUGAUUCACUAAAUACUCAUCAUGGUAUACUUUCCCAACACAUUCAAAUUGUUUUUGCAUGGCAUACGAAUUAGAUGAUUCGUUGCAUAUGAUUUCAAAAUAGCACGGUUCUGAUCUGAGAAUAUUUCUUGAGGAUAGCACUUUCACAUAUAACAUAGGCAUCUGACAAUGUAAUACUUCUCCUUCCAUGGUGAAUUAUAAGAUAGUAGUUUUUUGGAAAAUCACCUCACUUCCACUGUCGAUGCAUGUACAUUGACUAGAAUGUUUCGAGAUCUUAACUCACUAUUGACAUUCCCUUGUCAAAAUUUAUUGGCUGUAGUUCGUUGCUUUGAACUGGUGAUUACGAAUUUGUGGUGGCUCAUGCAUAAAUGUAAGUGGUCGCUGAGCUGGAACUUUUCAAGAUAGCCUUUUUGGACUUAGACUGCAAUUUCAUUAGAAUGGUUGAGAAGGGAUCUGUUUUCCUAGUGUUCUGAAUCCAGAUUGAGGGGUUGAAAUUUGAAUGCUUUUUAUAUCUAGCGCCACAGCUGGGGUCAGACCUGGCUGGGAACUCAAGCUGGACUAGCAGGAGUCUGAUUUCAGCAGACUACGCAUAGCUGGUAAGAUUUCCAUUAUUUCUAAUUAUCAAAUUUAAAAAUAUUAUUAAAUAUAUUAGUUUCAUUAGCUAUUAAUGAUUUAUUAUUUCAGCUUCAUUUACUCAAAAAUAAUUACUAAUAUUUAUUAAAUUUAAUAAAAUUCUUUGUAAAUUUUUUAAAAAAAUUAAUUUAACGGGUAAACUACUUUUUUGGUUCUCAAAACUAUGGGGCGCAUGAUAUUUGGUCUUCAAAUUUUAAUUUGUUAUUAUUUUUUGCUCUAGCUUUAUGGAUUGUUUGCAAUCAAAUGUCACAGCUCAAUAUAAUUGACUAAAUAUUGAUGUGUUUAGGGUUUAGUGUCACUAAUAUGAAAGUGGUUAGGAGUGUUGUGAUUCAUGAUGUCCUAGUACUUAAAGAUGCUACAUCACUUCCAUAUUAGCGAUAUGUUAAUUUUUUUAAUCAAAAAAGUUCAAAUAAGAAUUUAUUUUAAAUUAAAGUUUGAGAUCAAAGUGUCAUGCAUCUUAUAAUUUGAGGACUAAAAGAGUAACUUGAACUAAUUUAAUUAAGUUAAGCGGAACUUUCCUAAUAUGAUAUUGCUUUCUUAUUGGUGUUAACUGUCAUGUUGGUGAAAAAGUUUAGAAUGCAGCAGUCACAUUAUUAAUGUGAUAUUCUCAAACAAUCAAAUUGUCACAUUACUAAUGUGGUGUUCUCAACUAAUCAUAUUGCUUUUCUAGAGUUCAUUCAUUUUAUCAUGAUUUAAAAAAAAAAAAAAUUUCAAAAGAAGAGAUAUGAUUGGUUAGAUAUAUAGAUGACGCGUGUAUCUGUAACAUGAUAGACUUCUUCAUUAGCGCUGAGCCAAUUUUGGCUGGUUUUUUGGGUCCGAUGGGCCUAGUAACUAAUUGUAUUCCCGAACUAACCCAAAACAUCCAGCCCUUUAAUAUUUGGAGCCAUAUGAAGUUCUGAAUUGGAGAACAUUGUUUUUUAAAAAAAAGGCAAAAAAUGUUUAGAGACCUCAACUACAGCCCAUUUGGAUGUAAAUCCCUCAAUAAUUUUUAUUUUUCUUUUUUUCACUCCUCAACUUCAACUUUAAAAUUGAUGCUUAAAUGUUAACAAAAUUGGCAAUUUUAUUGUUUAAAAAAGAUUAAAAAUAGUUAAAUUUAACGAAUUAGAUAAUUGAAUCUACUAAAAUUUAAUCAAACGGAUAGUAAUCAGAUCUGAUGAUCCUAUUUGUAAGUACCAAAAAUCAAAUCUUGUGAUUUGUGAUAAUGUCACUGCUACCAAAAAUGUAAAUGCUAUACCCGAGAAAAUAAAUAAUAUUUCUCAAAAGAAAAAUGAAAAAGGUAAAGAAAAAUGAAAAGGUAAAAAGAAAAAGGAAAAUGAUGAGCCAGUAAGGGUCCCCCAUUUUGACCAAGAGGAUAAAAGUUGAGACAUGUAUUUUGACCGAAUUGUGUACUUCAGAAUCCAAAAUCCCUUUGAAGGUCCUCCGAUGUACGAGGGUUGGAGAGUGCAUUCAACAUUUGCCUUUCCGGAAACUAUUGACACAGUUCUUCUUAAUUUCGUAGACCCCAUUUCUGAGACCAUCACCUUUGUUAGAUGGGACGUAUGGUUUCAGAAAAUUGGUAUAUGUAUAGAAAAAAAAAAAAUUUGCUGAGAAGGUUAAGAAUACAAGAUUAAUGAUCUCGUGUUUUCCAUGUUGAAUUAUUAUGUAUGAUGAUUAUAAUAUUAAUAGCUUAGAAUUUUAAAGAUAAAAUAGAAGAGCUACCUGAGUAUGAAACUCAGGAGGUGUUGAGAGUCAUGACAGCUAGCCGUUAGAUGGUGUGGUUAAUUCAAUGGUAUAUACAAUUGAAUUUUUCAAAUCCAAUCACGUGAAAUCCCAACUUCUCAGAAAUCAAUAAUCUCAUUCCGUUGAGAUUAUUUGUUAGAAAUCUACACCUUAAUAGUUUUACACCGAAUAAUUAAUGAAAAAAUAAAAACUCAUAUUAAUUGCUUCAUAUCUAAUAAGUUUAAACUUUUGAUUGAAUGAGUUUUAGUACUCUAUAAUUUAUUACAUAUUUUAGCAUGUAUGGCUGCAGAGUGACUUCGAACGAGAAGCGAAAAUCUUAAAAAAUUGGAUAGCCAAUUUAUUCAUAACUUCUAUACGAAUUAAAAAUAAAUGAAAAAAAAAAGAAACAAAAUCCCUUACGUAGAAGUAGAAGACGCCUUUUUUUUCUUUAAUAAGAGCCAUGCAGUGUUUCUUUGGACAUCCAAUAAUAUCCAACAUUGAAACUUGGGGUUGCAUGUAUGUGCCUUACGUUACGUGCCCCAUAACCUUUACCGAUUACCGAGGGUGGGCCUUCAAUUGCCCCACACUCCCCUCCCACACUCUGUCUCAUGAUCUCAUCUCCCACUAAGCUUCUUCCAGGUGCUUAUAUUUUUAGAUGGAUUCCCUCCUACCAAUCAAUAAACAGGUGUUUUCCUUUUAUACACCCCACAAAAACUUGGAAAUCCUUCCUCUAUCCACAUCUCCAAUCACCUCCACAUUAUGAAUAGUACAUACCCCUGCUUGAUAUUUUAGAAAUUAUUUUAGUUAAAAUGUUGCGAGAAUUGAAAGUAAUUAUGCUAUAAAUAGUACACUAUGUAGUUCGCGACCGAUGUGGUGGAUGAGGCCCAGGUGUAAUCCCAACUAUCAUUAGCGUCUUUCCUCCUGUUAACCAUCCCAGGUCACGGCUAACUAAUACCUACAUACCAAAUUGAAAGCUCAAAAACGCAACCACGUGUUGGCUUUUGCUUGUCCAAUUAUCUUUCUUAAAUGCAUCGUAAUCAUAAUAAAUAUUAUUAGAUAGGAAAUGUUGUAGUAAUAUAAUUAGGGCCCGUUUAGCCUAGAUUUUGAAAAAAUAAUUUAUACAGAAUUGAUUUUGGUUUCGAAAAGUAAUUUUGGUUAAAAGUUGUAUAGCGUUUUGGCUAAGUUUAAAUAAAAGUAAUUUUUUUGAAGUUAUUUUGUAAAACCGUUUGCCAAAUUUUUUUGAUUUUUGCAUAAAUUAAUAUUUUUAUUAAAUUUUAUUUUAAAAUAAUUUAAAUUUUAAAUUUUAAUUUGAAUUAAAAUUAAAAUGUUUAAAUUUCAAAAUUGUACGAAAUUUAAAAUUUUAUAUUUUUAUUUAAAAAAUAAAUUUAAAAUUUAAAAUUUAAAAUUUUAAUUUUUAAUCUAAAUUUAAAUUUAAAAAUUAAAAAUUUUAAAUUUAAAAAUUCAAAUAUGAAUUUAAAAUCUUAAAAUUAGAAUUAAAUUUAAAUUUAAACUUUGAAUCUAAAAUUAAAAUAAAAAUUUAAAGUUUGAGUCCAAAAUUAGAAUUAGAUUUCAAGAAGCAGUUUUUUUCUGCUUCUGAUUCAGGGCCUUCAAAAUUAAUUUUCUGAUUCUGAAAAAUAGAAUUAGAUUUUUCUAGCACUCGUUAACAAACACUCUACUGAGCCCAAAAUUAUUUUUAGGCCAAGAAUCACUUUUCAGAAGCAGAGCUGAACACUCCCUUAAAGCGCUAUUAGAGGUUCCGAAGAAUGUUAUCUCUAUAUAAUGUUGAUACGUUAACUCUUAUAAUAAAUACAUGAAAUUCAAAGCAUUUCAAAAAAAAAAAAAUCUGAAAAUGCCACGCUAUAAAGGCUACUAAUAUUUUACAAAAUUCAAAUACAGUAUUAAUAUAUUGGUACGCUUAUGUAACAUUUUUGGACCGCGUAAAUAAGCUAAUUAAAUAUUUUUAUACUGUAAUAAUAUACAUAUAAAUAAUAUUAUUGAGAGAGAACUGUAGCUAAUAAGAUUAAGCGUCCCAUCAUUACUCCUACAAGCAAUCAUUAUAUAAGCCCUAAAAGAGAAAAAUUUUAAAAUGCAACGGGUAUAUUGGUGACGUGGCAUAACAAAUCAAUCAAAUAUCUUCUUUUAGGAGUAUAUGUCCCAUCAUGAUUGUAAAAAAAUAUUUUAAUUAUACUUUUGUUUAAAAAAAGAAAAUGUGAUUGAUUUAUUAUUGAUGACGUGGUGCAAGUGUGAUAGUGUAGGAUUCCUCUCUAAAAGGUGUCUAGACGCGUCAUCGGGGUUUUUUUGCAAAUAGCCUCCUGACAAAUUUUAUUUGCAAAAAUAGCCCCGUCCAAAAAUUAUUUGCAAAAAUGGCCCUGUCUUUGCCACGCCAGCGCUACGUUAGCGCCACGCGGGCAGGACGGGCCCAGAUGUUUAAGUUGAACACGGUGAACCAUUCAUCGUGUUCAAUACAAGAUUUUUGUAUUGGACACGGUGAAUGGUUCACCGUGUCCAAUACAAAUACCCCAACAAUGGGUAAGUUCGAGGUAUUUGUAUUAGAUACGGUGAACCAUUCACCGUAUCCAAUUAUUUGUAUUGGACACGGUGAAUGGUCACCGUGUCCAAUACAAACAGCUAUUUUGUAUUGGACACGAUGAAUCAUUCACCGUGUUCAAUACAAAAACUUUGUAUUGAACACGAUGAAUGGUUCACCGUGUUCAACUUAAUCAUCUGGCCCAGCCCAGCCCGCGUGGCGCUGACGUGGCACUUGCGUGGCGGGGCCAGGACCAUUUUUGGAAAUAAAUUUUUGGCAGGGCCAAAUUUAAAAUUUUUUUUUGUAAGGAGACUAUUUGUAAAAAAAGCCCCGCAUCAUCGCUUUCACUUGUGGAGUGUUAGCAGUGCAUAUUGCCCGAUUCUCGAUGCUAUGCUCUUUACUGCAUUUAGAUUUAUGAUUCUUUAUGAAAAGGAUAGGAUUACCUUUGGAUAAAGACACUUUCAUAUUGCCUUUUGGUGCAACUUAACAAAUAGCUCUUCUAUACACUAUAGUAGGCAUCUGACACUAAAAAAAGAAAAAAAAGAAAAAAAAAUGGAACACGUGAUUACUAUUAAAGAAAUAAAAGCACCUUUCAUUUCUAUUAAAAUUUAAAAGUAGACUAUUAUUGUGUUCAUGGUUUCUUUGGUCCAGGUCAAAUCCUUCCGAGCACGGGCACUUAUCAAGAUCAUGCACAUGCUGUGUUGGUGUGCUGUUGCUGUUGUUAUUAUUAUUAUUAUUAUUAUUAUAUAGUUGAUGAUAUAUUAGUUUCAUUUGGUGCUUUUGUUUAGUGUAAAGUGCAUUGAAUUUGAGCUACUUUUUAGAACCUAGUAAUUUUAGACUAAUUUUGAUAUCAUAUUACUUAAAAGAAUCAGUAUAUUAUAUGUGUGAAAAUUAGAAAUAUUUUAUUUUACGGUGCCGAUCAGAAAGAAAAAAUUAAGCUAACAGUGAAUUAUGUCUAUUAAACGGGCUUAGGCCUAGUCCAAAAGCUUAAGCUAAUAGUGCGUUUAUAUCAACCGACCGUUCCUAGCGCAAGUGGCAAAAGAUUUGGUAGUUGAUAGCUGAGGUCCAAAGUUCGAAUCUUAGUUGAUUCAUAUUUCCAGCUAAAUUUAUCUCUAAAUGAAAUAAACAAAGCGGGUAGCAUACUAUCUAUUUCUCUUUCAAAAAAAAGUCCAUUUAUAUCCGAUACGGGACUAUCAUUCCUAACAGCCCAUUUGGCAUGCGCUGGACGCUGCUAGCUCGUCCUACAAAUCUUGUGCCAUCACACAAAAUCCAUGUAUUAAUCUGCAACUAAUAUAUGAGAUAAAUUCAAUCGCACACAUAUUAGGCGCAAUUAGAAUGAGAUACAAAUAACUGCACAUGUUAGGUACAACUAGCACGUAAUAACUGUACCAGCCAAAAAUUUAAGGAGUGUAAAUCAAAUUGUGAUACACCGUGCUAAAAAGGCUCGGGCUCAGACUCAAUUUCAAAGCUUAAGUUAUUAGAUGAAGACCCGUGUAAAAUAUAAAAUUAAAUCUCAGCAUGUAUGUAAGGCAAAUAGUUUAUCCACCAAAAAGCAACUGCUUGGGUUGGAUUCGAGCCAUUUUAGCAAUUUCAACACUCUUCAAGCCAAUUUUGCUAAUUUAGGAUACAAUCAUGAGAACGGCAUGUUACAAUUUUAUAUGGGAAAUAUAAAGUGAGCUUUCUCUAUCUAAAGAGAAUAUUACUUAACUCGGGAUUUCAUAAAAAUAAAAGGGUUUUUUUUUGUAUUUUGCUCUCUUAAUUUUUUUUUUAUAAAUAGUCCUAAUAAAUUUAUAUUUUAUAAAUAAUUCUCUCCUUAAUACGUGAGCGUCUAAAUGGCAUUUUUUAGUUGAACACGGUGAUUCAAUCACUGCCGUUUAAAUACGGUAAUUGAAUCGCCUUUUUUUUUGUAUUUCUAAGUUAAAAAGAAUGGGCUAAAGUGUGAAUACGAUACCGUGUUUAAUAUAAAUUUGGCAAGAUUUUUUUUUUUUUUUUGAGGGAUAUUAAAUUUAAAAAGAACUCUAAAAAAACAAAAAAAGAAUUGGAAUAUUUUUAUUUGGCCUUAAAUUGGGAGCGGCGGAAACACGGCACAGUGUACGCCCAGUGGGCGUGGAGUGAGGCGUAUGAUUCCGCCCAAUGGGUCCGCAUUCCGCAAUCAUGGCCCCCCUCCACUUCCCCUUGUGUGACACAUGAUUGCUCCCACCAAAUAAACCCCCUUUUUAUUAUUAUUUAUUUGUAUUAUUAUUAUUAUUAUUAUUAUUAUUUUAUAUAUUAUAUAUUAUUAUUAUUAUUAUUAUUAUUAUUGCGCAAUCUUAAUCAUGGUUUAAUUAUCCUCCCAUUUGUAUGGACCACGGUUGAAAGGGUGUUUGAGAGUGGUUAGGAUAAAUUCCCAUACAAUCCGGUACCGCGUUUGAUAGGAUGUGGCUAUGAACAUCAAAAUUUAGUAUUCGAUAUAUAUAUUUGUAUUUGAACUCGUAUUCGUAAAAAGUAAAAAAUUAGAUGCAAAUAUAGGUUUUUAAAAAAAUUCGACUAUAUUCGAUCAUUUUCACUUUUAGGAAAUACAAAUUUAAAUAUAACAUCAAAUAUCCAUAUAUAUAUAUAUAUAUAUAUAUAUAUAAUGCAAAAUUAACUUAGGUUUGAAUUAGAUUCAAAUUCGUAUUAGAUACAAACAAAUUUUAUAUCUGAAUUCAAAUCCAUCAAAUAUUUGCUUUUUUUUUAUCCAUAUUCGAAAUUAUAUCCGUUUAACAUCACAUGCACACAUAUUGCGUCUAGUUAAUUAAGAAAGUAGAAUUCGUCAAUAUACACCUAAGGUGCGUAUAAAGCGUGAAAGGAGAUUAAGAAAUAAUAUAAUAUAUUAUUUUAUUCAUAGGAAAUGGUUAGUCAACAUGAACAAAAUCUCGCCUGAACCAAGUUUUUUUUUUUUUUUUCUUAAAAAGAAAUAUAGCAUGCUAUUUACUUUAUUUAUUUUUUAAAAGAUAAACUCAAUUUGAAAUAUGAAGUAAUUAUAUUUUAAACUCGGAACCUUAAAUACCAACCAACAAUUUUUUUGUCGCUUGCGUUAGGAACGGUUGGACAAAGUUGAACAGCAAAAUUGUGUAUUUAAUUGAUAGCUUUACAACUUAGCGCUUCACAAUUCUUGCAUAUUUUCUUCUAUAUCAGAUAUAUGCACUAGGAAUUGCGAAAGAUUUUGUGACCUUGUCCAUAAUAGGCUAUUUUAGGCAGAGAGGAUAAGAUUUUUCUUUUUCUUAUUUUCUUUUAAGGAAAAAAAAAAGAGGAGAGGAUAAGAUCUUAGAAAGGGAACAAAUAAUUUCCAUUUACAUAUAAUACUUAAAAAAAUUGAUAAUGGGCAUGUUUGUAUGUUUUGGGUAAGAUAUAAUGAGAAGGUAAAAAGGUAUAAAACUUAUUAAAAUUAUGGACCAUUUUACAUUACUUAUUUAAUUUUUUAAAUUUUUUUUUUUUACCAUUCAAAUUUUUAACUCGUCUGAUUUGAGUCAGUCAACCGUACUUUAAUUUCAAAUUAAGCUUCUUUUUUUUAUUUUAAUAAAUUUAUAAUUAUAAAAUUAUAUGAAGCAUCCUAAUUAAAUCUAUAAAGAUAAACGAUAUUUAAAUUUUGAAGUUGAAAGUAUGGUUGUUGACCUCAAAUCAAACAAAUUAAAAAAUUGAAUAGUAGAAUUAAUUUUUUAAAAGGUAAGGUAAUAGAAUGAAAAUGAUUUAUAGUUCAGAUAAAUUUUAUGUGUUUUUAUAUGAAAAAAAUAUCAAACAAAGUUUGAAUAUAUAUUUUUUAAAAAAAUUUAAUAGUAUAAAG
This 10871-nucleotide long non-coding RNA is filed under the name Ananas comosus (pineapple). RNAcentral describes it as "long non-coding RNA (ACOM_LNC006254)". Lineage: Eukaryota; Viridiplantae; Streptophyta; Magnoliopsida; Poales; Bromeliaceae. The record is from RNAcentral.